AACGAACGCUGGCGGCAUGCCUAACACAUGCAAGUCGAACGAGACCUUCGGGUCUAGUGGCGCACGGGUGCGUAACGCGUGGGAACUUGCCCUUAGGUUCGGAAUAACUCCCCGAAAGGGGUGCUAAUACCGGAUAAUGUCUUCGGACCAAAGAUUUAUCGCCUUUGGAUGGGCCCGCGUUGGUUUAGCUAGUUGGUAGGGUAAAAGCCUACCAAGGCGACGAUCCAUAGCUGGUCUGAGAGGAUGAUCAGCCACACUGGGACUGAGACACGGCCCAGACUCCUACGGGAGGCAGCAGUGGAGAAUAUUGGACGAUGGGCGAGAGCCUGAUCCAGCAAUGCCGCGUGAGUGAUGAAGGCGUUAGGGUUGUAAAGCUCUUUUACACGGGAUGAUAAUGACAGUACCGGGAGAAUAAGCUCCGGCUAACUCCGUG
This 433-nucleotide ribosomal RNA is filed under the name uncultured bacterium. RNAcentral's name for it is "partial 16S ribosomal RNA". It matches the Rfam family "Bacterial small subunit ribosomal RNA", at positions 29 to 507 of the family's 1533-position model. The record is from RNAcentral.